GCGGGCUUCACCGCGUGGGCGCGGCAGUCGCCACUCACCGAGGUUGACGACCUUGAGCGCCGUGAAGAAGCGGUUCUGCCGGGCCAGGUCCUGCCAGGGAGCCUUGGAGCAGUGGUACUUGAUGAAGGGGAAGCAGCCGGCGUGGGUUCUCACUAUGUUGCUUAAGCUGGUCCAGAACUCAAGCCAGUCUCUCACUUCAGCCUCUUGAGUCGUUGGGAUUACAGAAGCCACCAUGUCCAACUGCUGAUCUUGAACUCCUGGGCUCAAGCGAUCCUCCCACCUCGGCCUCCCAAUGUGUUGGGAUUACAGGCGUGAGUUGCGGCGCCCAGCUGAUAUGUAUACUUUUCUAUAGGU
This 354-nucleotide long non-coding RNA is filed under the name Homo sapiens (human). RNAcentral's name for it is "LHRI_LNC2131.5". The record is from RNAcentral. Lineage: Eukaryota; Metazoa; Chordata; Mammalia; Primates; Hominidae.